GACAGAGGAGCCAAGCGUUGUCCGGACUGACUGGGCGUAAAGGGCACGCAGGCGGUGCGGCAAGUGGUGUGUGAAAGCGCUGGGCUUAACCGAGCGAGGCCAGGCCAAACUGCCGCACUGGAGCCAUGCAGAGGGUGGUGGAAUUGCCGGUGUAGUGGUGAAAUGCGUAGAGAUCGGCAGGAACACCAAGGGAGAAGUCAGCCACCUGGGCAUGUGCUGACGCUGAGGUGCGAAAGCGUGGGGAGCGAACUGG
Molecule: ribosomal RNA, 253 nt
Filed under: uncultured bacterium
Lineage: Bacteria
Description: partial 16S ribosomal RNA
Rfam family: Bacterial small subunit ribosomal RNA
Source: RNAcentral